CAGUCGCCGCGGUAAAACGAGGGGGGCAAGCGUUGUUCGGAUUUAUUGGGCGUAAAGGGUGCGUAGGCGGUUUGGCAAGUCCUGUGUGAAAUCUUCGGGCUCAACCCGAAGCCUGCACGAGAAACUACCGGGCUUGAGUAUUGGAGAGGUGAGUGGAAUUUCCGGUGUAGCGGUGAAAUGCGUAGAUAUCGGAAGGAACACCUGUGGCGAAAGCGGCUCACUGGACAAUAACUGACGCUGAUGCACGAAAGCUAGGGGAGCAAACAGGAUUAGAUACCCCUGUAGUCCCUGUCUCUUAUAA
Molecule: ribosomal RNA, 301 nt
Filed under: uncultured bacterium
Lineage: Bacteria
Description: partial 16S ribosomal RNA
Rfam family: Bacterial small subunit ribosomal RNA
Source: RNAcentral